GCAGUCGUGUCCGAGUGGUUAAGGAGAUUGACUAGAAAUCAAUUGGGCUCUGCCCGCACAGGUUCGAAUACUGUCGACUGCG
Molecule: transfer RNA, 82 nt
Filed under: Bursaphelenchus xylophilus (pine wood nematode)
Lineage: Eukaryota; Metazoa; Nematoda; Chromadorea; Rhabditida; Aphelenchoididae
Rfam family: tRNA
About the family: Transfer RNA (tRNA) molecules are approximately 80 nucleotides in length. Their secondary structure includes four short double-helical elements and three loops (D, anti-codon, and T loops). Further hydrogen bonds mediate the characteristic L-shaped molecular structure. tRNAs have two regions of fundamental functional importance: the anti-codon, which is responsible for specific mRNA codon recognition, and the 3' end, to which the tRNAs corresponding amino acid is attached (by aminoacyl-tRNA synthetases). tRNAs cope with the degeneracy of the genetic code in two manners: having more than one tRNA (with a specific anti-codon) for a particular amino acid; and 'wobble' base-pairing, i.e. permitting non-standard base-pairing at the 3rd anti-codon position.
Source: Rfam by way of RNAcentral